GCUGGGCAUGGUGGUGCAUGCCUGUGGUCCCAGCUACUUGGGAGGCUGAGGUGGGAGGAUAACUUGAGCCUGGGAGUUCAAGGCUGCAGUGAGCCAUGAUCAUGCCACUGCAUUCCAGCCUGGGUGACAAAGUGAGACCCUGUCUUUU
This 148-nucleotide signal recognition particle RNA is filed under the name Pan troglodytes (chimpanzee). RNAcentral describes it as "Metazoan signal recognition particle RNA". It matches the Rfam family "Metazoan signal recognition particle RNA". From Rfam's summary of the family: The signal recognition particle (SRP) is a universally conserved ribonucleoprotein. It is involved in the co-translational targeting of proteins to membranes. The record is from Rfam by way of RNAcentral. Lineage: Eukaryota; Metazoa; Chordata; Mammalia; Primates; Hominidae.